AAACCGUUGAAAGGGAAGCGAAUGGAGUUAGCAAUUCGCCACGCCAGAUUCAGUUUUCUCGCGUGCCGCGACGCGCGCGCACUCGAUCUCUGUAGACGAGUCGCGUUCGGACGGGGCGCGUGCGAGGCGCACUUCUGGCGGGCGAGCGUCAACGUCGGUCUCGGACGGGCUACAAGGUGGCGAGGAAGGUGGACCGCGCCUUCGGGCGCGGUUGUUAAGCCUCGCACACGAACGGCUCGUGCGAGACCGAGGCAUCUCGCGACGCGUGCCUGCCCCCGUCAAGGGGGCGGGCUGGCGACCCUAACUCGUUUGUCCGGUUGUCGAGGGUGGCGGACGGCACGCCUGUGCGCUCGAACUGCUGCCGGUCAACGAGUCGGUGUUCGCACACCACGCGUCAAGGACGUUGACGACCAUACGGCUCUAUCCGACCCGUCUUGAAACACGGACCAAGGAGUCUAACAUGUGCGCGAGUCUCUGGGUGAUCGAAACCCGUGGGCGAAAUGAAAGUAAAGGCAGCCCCGGUGCUGCUGAGGUGAGAAGCGCCGUCCUCGCGGCGGCGCCGCAUCAUCGACCGACCUAUUCUACUCCUAGGAAGGUUUGAGUAAGAGCGUAUCUGUUGGGACCCGAAAGAUGGUGAACUAUGCCUGAAUAGGGUGAAGCCAGCGGAAACACUGGUGGAAGCUCGUAGCGAUUCUGACGUGCAAAUCGAUCGUCGAAUUUGGGUAUAGCGGCGAAAGACUAAUCGAACCAUCUAGUAGCUGGUUCCCUCCGAAGUUUCCCUCAGGAUAGCUGGAGCUCGGAUGCAGU
RNAcentral lists this ribosomal RNA (807 nucleotides) under Actinoptilum molle. RNAcentral's name for it is "eukaryotic LSU rRNA". It matches the Rfam family "Eukaryotic large subunit ribosomal RNA", at positions 402 to 999 of the family's 3401-position model. The record is from RNAcentral. Lineage: Eukaryota; Metazoa; Cnidaria; Anthozoa; Scleralcyonacea; Echinoptilidae.